Molecule: non-coding RNA, 4238 nt
Organism: Macaca mulatta (Rhesus monkey)
Lineage: Eukaryota; Metazoa; Chordata; Mammalia; Primates; Cercopithecidae
Source: RefSeq, a predicted model, not a curated record
AUCACCUGGUGUCCGGCCUUUCCUAGAAACUUCUUGCAUCACCACUUCUAAGAACCCCAGUUCUAAGAAUCAACAGAGCUCAAUUCUCGGAAUUUGAGCUUCGGACUUUACCACUGCUACGUGGCAGGGGAGGACUUGGUGUCAGCUCUCUGAGCUUUUUACCUCCCCUGGCCGAUCAAAAGCCCUCAAAGCCACAAGAUUUUUUCACUGUCCGGCAUAUUUCGAGGUCCUCAUAAGCAGAAUGUCUCGGAUUUGGAGGUUCCGGUUCGAGGUUCGAGGGGCCUGAAUGUGGCUCUCCCUCCCCGGACCCAUGACGAUGGUAUGGCCUGCUCCGCCACCGUCACGUGGGCUCCUCCUCUGUGACGUCGGCGCCUUCGCUGUAGCAAAGCUCGGCCUCUGGAAUUCUGAGAACUAAUUUGCUAUUCGGUGACAUAAGAGGGGGAGUGCGCUUUGCUUUCCCUGGGUCUGGGGCUAAUUCCUCCUCUCUUACCCAUAAACUCAGCAGAUCGAGCUAAAUGCACAAAAGGGAGCGAGAGGUUUGAACCACUGGAAAAAGUAUGUUAUAUAUAGUAGGGUUAGAGAGGCAAGUAAGAGAGAGAGAGAGAGAAAAAAAAAAAAAAAAAAAAACAAUAAACACCACAGCUCUUUCCAGCUAGAAUAUUAGGCACCACGAGAAAAAUAUUUGCCAAGCAGUUUUCGGUGGGUUCAUUUGCUUUAUUUUUAUUUAGGACAGGGGUUUUUGCUGUCGUUCUGGGGUUUUUUCUUUCUGGUGUGGUGGCUUGGGAUUUUUGGUUGCUGUAUUUUGAUGGUUUAUGGAUUUUUGCUUCUGAUUUUUUGCCUUUUGCAAGUUUGUGGUGUUACGUAAAUCAUAGGAUCGGCAUCGGUUGGAUUUUUUUGUGCGUGCCUUUUCUUUCCCUAUCUAAUCCCUCAAGCGUUUUAAAGAAGAUGUGUUAUUUCAAUACUAACACUGUUGAAAGAAGCUUAAAUUUUUGGCCAUAUGUAACAAUCCCAGCCCCCACUUUUUUUUUUUUCCUUUGGUGCAAUUUUCUUUUUCCCCUUGGACUUUUGCUGAAGUGUGUCUCUCCUGCACUUGAGAGAAAUGUUCAAAGGAUUUGUUUUGGUUUGGUUUGUUUCUUUCCAGGACAGCAAGUGGUGUGUUUAAUCUGUUAUUGUUGACUCUGAGGAAAUUUCUUGUUGCAAGAAACGUGUGUGUGUGUGUGUGUGUGUGUGUGUGUGUGUGUAGGGGGUAGGGGGGUAUGUGUGUGUGUUUUCUACAAAAUUCUGUGAGCCACAUACCUGUUUGUGUUUUGUUUUCUCUUAAGGUCUUGAUAGUUUUUUUCGGGGCUCGUUUCAAGGUCGUUGUAAAAAAAUCUCUUCAGUUUGUGUUUAAGAGAUCAGCCGGAGGGAAUUCUAAAGGCCUGCCGUGCCAGUAUCACAGAUACUGCCUGUAUUUAGAACAGACUGCUACAACUACAACGCACUACACGCAGCACAGUCGUCUUAGCUUUGAAGCUGAGUUGGGGGUGGGGGGGGGGGAGAGAAGAAGGGGAAAAUCUUUCCUUCUCUUUUUCUCUAUUACUUUCUUUUUAAAGGCAAUUGCAGUGCAGAAUCAUUUCAUUGUGGGUCCUAGUUUGUUUGUUCAGAGCUGCUAGUUUCCUUAUUUAAAUGUUGGUUGGGGUUUUUUCCCCUCCUACUCAUCCCUGAAUAAGGGAGACUCUUGUUUCUUUUAUGUCUCUCUCUUAAAAGAAGGGUGUGAGGGGAAAAUAAUAUUUCAGAUUCCUCAAGAAUUAGCCCAAAAUGUUUGGACCAGAAGCAGCUUUCAAAGGUCAGGCUGUUCUGAGCCUUGGCUAUGAGAGUCCUUCAAGCGACUUAUUAAAUUACAGAUGAGUUCUUAAAGGUUCCACAAAAUCUCGUCACUUGUUAAUUUCUAAUAAAGAUAUGUCUUAAAAUAAUCUACCUAUCCCAACCCAAAAUUUGGGUUUAUAAUGGAGGAGAGAUCAGAGCUGUGAAAGAUUGCUGUUUGCUGGGAUAUUUGGAAAAUCUCUUUCAUUUACAGUCCUGUAAGAAGUUCCAUGUAUCACUGAAAAUGUUGUUGGCAAUGCACCCCACUACCCCACAACACACACACACAUUUUUAAAGGCUGUAUUUUAGGUUUUAAAACCCAGAAAGGUGCAAAAAGGUUGAUUAUUUUCUACAAGGGCUGGAGCUUAGGAAACAUGCGUUGAGUGUCUGUCCCUGUGAAAUUUGAAUAUUUUAAUACUUAUUGACAGAUGGAUUACUGCAGCCUCUGCAGAAAAGCCUGUCUUGUGAAGGGUUUUUGAAAAAUGUACAUAGGCCUAAUCCUGUCACUGUUGUUGAAAUGUACGUUUUACCCCCAAAGACACAUGAUAUUGUCAAGUUCAGAUUUAUUCUGCCAGAAGGCAGACUAUCUGCUUUUUCAUUUGAGUCCCCUUCCUUCUCAUUUUCAAAGAGAUUAAAAUGAACCCCACUGGAUGCAAAAUGACACCCCGACUUUGCGGAAGGGAUUUUCCUUGUGUGUUUAUAUGUGUGAUAAUUUUUUCUUUUAUGAGCAAUUAGCACUUUGGGAUUUCUGAGAUUUAUCUAUAUGGUUUGGAAUGUGAAUUGUAUAGCUCUGCCCUAUUAUUGGUCCUUCAAAAGAUUACUUUUCUGAUUUUUGGUCACAUAUUUUUUUUGUCAAAACUGCCAUUUAGCCUCAUCCACCGCCCCCCCAAACCUGAAACACACACAGCUUGUCCCUCCUGUGUUCCCUUUGCCACUCCACUCUUAGCCCCAUGGGGGCGCUGCAGAGCAAAGGGAAAUCUGCUCCCUAAGGCAGUAGUAGAACCAGCCGGAGUGGGGGCUGGGAAAGAAUUCACCCUUCUCAUACCUCAGCCCUCUUUAAUUCUCUGCAGUGAGCCCCUAGAGGGAGAACCCACCAGGCCUGGUUUAUAUAUAAUUAACCUCAUCACCAGGGACCUCAGAUCUUCCCAGCACAUUAUUUGUGGGACCAAGUGCCAGAGUGCCACAUUUUCCUACUGCUUUUUGCCAAAUCAAUGUGUUUACACUGAAAGAAAUUGACCAGAACAGAAGACCAGUUAGAAAGAAAGAGAAAAUGAUUAUUGAAAUUGUUCUAAAGAUAGACACUUACUUUUCGGUGAGUCUCUUUUACUUUCAAUUGAAUGCAUGUUGAGGAAAAUUGUGCACCCGCCUCUCAAUCUCUUUUCAAUUCCUAGGAAAGUAACUUUGUCAAAUAUUAUACCAGUUGAAUUUCUUCCAGAAUGUCAUUUCUUCUUUCGUUCUUGACCUCUCCUCAGUAACCAGUAGGCAUCACUAUGUGGGCCUCCCUCACUCCUGCAGUGCCGUGUUACAGGAUUAAAGAAAGGGCUGACUUGAAUGUAUUCUGAUUCUUUUAAAUCAUCCUUAAGAAGCUCUAAAGAGUGAUUCCAUGUCUGGGGUCGUAUGAAUAAUUCCUGCAGACUUGGGGGUACUACAAAUCACCUAGUCCCAUUAUUUAAUGGUUACUGGAGGUUAAUACUCAGAAUAGAGGACCAGGCCAACCUCUUUGCCUCAUGGACUGUGCAUAAGAAUAGGUCCCUGAUCAUUGCCGCUGGGUAAAUAUAAGCCUUAUUACAAAAUAAAAUACCCUGGUCCUAAUACUACAUCUAUUUAAGGAAAAGAACAGACUUCACAUCCAAUUCCCCCUUGCAAAAUCUUCCCCACAAUUCAGUCAUAGCCGAAAAAGAACCUAUCCUUGAAACAAACAGGGUUCUGUCCUCUUUCUAAGGGGGCUCACAAGAGGAAGUUGUUUUCACCUAUCAAGAACCUCUGGCACCUUGGUAGGUCUUUAAGAUAUCACAUCACAGGACUAUAGAUUUUAAAGCUGGAAAGAAGUUUUCAAAUCAAUCACCUCCUCUAGGUUUUCUUCUUUCAGGAUUACAGGCUGGGUCCUCACUAGGAGGAUGUGUGACCCGAGGAACACAACUGAAAAUGGGUCUGCAUGAUUUGCUGGCCCUCUGUCAUUUUAGAGGAUCAGGGUAACCUGACAACUGGAGUCUGUAGGACUGAAAGAAGAUGACCAUCAUAUGCAAGUUUUGUGUGUGGAUUCCAGUGUAGGACCACAGGCUCCUAUGACACCAUGAUUGAAUGCUGUUAACAAAUAUAGGAUUGUUUUAUGCAUAGUGCAAUUGUAUUGUAGUUGUGUGUGUGCUGGUGUUAAAAAUAUAAGAUUUAAAAUAUA